RNA transcript from Papaver somniferum (opium poppy), 2030 nucleotides. RefSeq lists it as uncharacterized. The transcript is spliced from 6 exons. The record is from RefSeq and is a predicted model, not a curated record. NCBI's taxonomy places the organism in Eukaryota, Viridiplantae, Streptophyta, Magnoliopsida, Ranunculales, Papaveraceae.
CUCAUCCAUCUCUCUCUCUCUAAACUCUCUGCAGAAAUGGGGAUACACUCUAAAACUUGAUAUUUGGAGUGGUUUAUGUCGCAAACAGAUCAUCACUAGAUUAGGAUGGUAGUGUUAAUGGUUUUUUUUACAUCUUCAGUACUUAUUCGUGAAGAUUAGAAGGUAACUGGUGGUCAAACGGAGGUGGUUUUCUUACAAGAGUUCGUCACUAUGUACGCGAACAUAAUGAGGAAGUAUGUAAAGAACCCAGUUAGAAGCUUCAGGGUUGAAGAAAAUGAUACAAAUAAGAUUAGGUAUUUUGAUAAUGUAAGUGUGAAUUGUGGUGGAUUGAAUGGUUUUAGUGAUGUUGUUCAUGCUGCAUAUCAGUUACCCCCCAUUAAGCAGGUUAAUCUUACCUGGUUCAGUGAGACAGACCCUUUCUGUAUUGGUAGUAAUGAAGAAUUCUUUGAGAUGUUGGACAAAGGAGUGGUUGAAGAUGAUGGGUACAUUCAUCUGUACAUGAAUGUUACCAACAUGAGUUUAUGGAUAGUAAAGACUUUAAGAACCACUUAAGGGAAUAUGCAGUGAAGAAAAAGUUUCAGUACAAGUUGAAGCCCAAUGACAAAGAAAGAAUCAAAGUUAAUUGCUAGUAUAACAAGUCUCAGAGUUGUAAGUUUUUUAUUUAUGCAAGUGUCAUAUGUCAUGAACUUACUUUUAUAGUGAGAAAGGUGAACUUGGAGCAUACAUGUGUGACUGAAGGUGUAACCAGAAACAGGACAACAAAUGCAGAAUUUGUUGCACAGUUCUUGUAUGAUAAGCUGAAGAGGGGAGACUCAAUGCCAAGCCCUUACAACUUACAAGAUCAGUUCCACACUCUUCAUAAUACUAGUGUUCCCUAUCAUGUGGCCUGGAGAGCUACAACUAAGACACUAGAAAAAGUAAAUGACAAUUAUGAUGAGUCUUACAGACUUGUGCCAGCUUUUUGUGAUAUGGUGGAGAAAACAAAUCCUGGUUCUUUGAAAAACUACACAUUUGGAAGUGUUGAUGGAUUCUUUGAGUCAAUGACAAUUUCCUUUGCAGCACCACUCAAAGGUUUUCAUGAUGGGUGUAGAAAUGUGAUAGGAUUUGAUGCUUGUCAUUUGACUGGAAAACAUGGUGGUUGUCUGAUGGCUGCAACUGCUUUGGAUGCAGAGAAUAUGAUUGUCCCAUUGGCUAUAAUGGUUACUAGAAAUGAAAUUGACAUGUGUAUGCAAAUUUCAAAAAAUACUAUAAAGGUACAAAGCUACAUAACCUGGUUUGCAAUGCUGCACUAUGUUACAAUGAAAGACAUUGGAAGGCCCACAUGGAUGAUCUUGUGAAGUUGUCUCCAGCAACAGCAGCAUAUAUGAUGAGGGAAAACCCAAAGCAAUGGUCUAGGGCCUUCUAUGACCAAGAACUUCUCAGCAGGAUGAUCUUCAGUUUCAGAUUUCAACAACUUUCUCACUCCAUUGCAAGGUAUAAAAAGAAAAGUGAAAAUCCGACUGUUGGGAAAGGUCUGAUUUUCUGGCAACCAACGUGCUGCCACUCACCUGGUUCCACGUCACCUAGUUCCACGUCACCUAGUUCCACGUCACCUAGUUCCACGUCACCUAGUUCCACGUCACCUAGUUCCACGUCACCUGGUUCCACGUCACAGAUCUGCCACAUUUGCAAACCACGUCAGUCACAAGUUUAACACCGUUUUUUCAAAAACUGUUAUGUCGCCCAAAGUGUGACUUUUUUGUUGACGAUUUACAAAAGUAUGAUCGAUUUGUAACCAAAUUAGAAAAAGUAGGACCAUUUUAUAAGUGGCCCUUUAUAAUUCGUGGUUGAAGGUUGCAGAGUGGGCACAUAUUGUUUUGAAUCUGACAUCUUCUUUUUAGCUAAUUUUAUGUUGUUAAGAUAGAAUUUUGAGCUGCAAACCACAUAAAAAAUUGUAUUUUAGGUGGAACUUGCUGAAUUUAAAAGCAAGAAAAUGGAAUUGUAUUAGGUAGCUGCUCCGGAAGCCAUUUAUAACAAAUUUUAUUUUUAUA